Molecule: unclassified non-coding RNA, 328 nt
Filed under: uncultured Mucor
Lineage: Eukaryota; Fungi; Mucoromycota; Mucoromycetes; Mucorales; Mucoraceae
Description: partial contains 5.8S ribosomal RNA, internal transcribed spacer 2, and large subunit ribosomal RNA
Rfam family: 5.8S ribosomal RNA (bases 1-101)
Source: RNAcentral
GUGCGAUAACUAGUGUGAAUUGCAUAUUCAGUGAAUCAUCGAGUCUUUGAACGCAACUUGCGCUCAUUGGUAUUCCAAUGAGCACGCCUGUUUCAGUAUCAAAACAAACCCUCUAUUCAAUAUUUUUGUUGAAUAGGAAUACUGAGAGUCUCUUGAUCUUUUCUGAUCUCGAACCUCUUGAAAUGUACAAAGGCCUGAUCUUGUUUGAAUGCCUGAACUUUUUUUUAAUAUAAAGAGAAGCUCUUGCGGUAAACUGUGCUGGGGCCUCCCAAAUAAUACUCUUUUUAAAUUUGAUCUGAAAUCAGGCGGGAUUACCCGCUGAACUUAA